UGCGUAGGGGGCAAGCGUUGUCCGGAUUUAUUGGGCGUAAAGAGCUCGUAGGCGGUGUGUCGCGUCGGCCGUGAAAACCUGGGGCUCAACUCUGGGCGUGCGGUCGAUACGGGCAUCACUUGAGUUCGGCAGGGGAGACUGGAAUUCCUGGUGUAGCGGUGAAAUGCGCAGAUAUCAGGAGGAACACCGGUGGCGAAGGCGGGUCUCUGGGCCGAUACUGACGCUGAUGCGCGAAAGCUAGGGGAGCGAACGGG
RNAcentral lists this ribosomal RNA (254 nucleotides) under uncultured bacterium. RNAcentral describes it as "partial 16S ribosomal RNA". It matches the Rfam family "Bacterial small subunit ribosomal RNA", at positions 524 to 776 of the family's 1533-position model. The record is from RNAcentral.